AUAUCAAUAAGCGGAGGAAAAGAAACCAACAGGGAUUGCCUCAGUAACGGCGAGUGAAGCGGCAACAGCUCAAAUUUGAAAUCUGGCUUUUCGGAGCCCGAGUUGUAAUUUGUAGAGGAUGUUUCGGGUACCGCAACGACUUAAAUUUCUUGGAACAGAAUGUCAGAGAGGGUGAGAGUCCCGUCUGGAGUCGCGGUAGGGCCCAUGUGAAACUCCUUCGACGAGUCGAGUUGUUUGGGAAUGCAGCUCAAAAUGGGUGGUAAAUUUCAUCUAAAGCUAAAUAUUGGCCAGAGACCGAUAGCGCACAAGUAGAGUGAUCGAAAGAUGAAAAGCACUUUGAAAAGAGAGUUAAACAGUAUGUGAAAUUGUUGAAAGGGAAGCGCUGGCAACCAGACUUGCGUACGGAGGUUCCCCCUCGCUUCUGCUUGGGCUACUCCUCCGUGUCCAGGCCAACAUCGGUUUUGGCGGUCGGUUAAAGGCCCUGGGAAUGUAUCUUCCUCCGGGAAGACUUAUAGCCCAGGGUGUCAUGCGGCCUGCCGGGACCGAGGAACGCGCUUCGUGCUCGGAUGUUGGCGUAAUGGUUGUCAGCGA
This 591-nucleotide ribosomal RNA is filed under the name uncultured fungus. RNAcentral describes it as "eukaryotic LSU rRNA". It matches the Rfam family "Eukaryotic large subunit ribosomal RNA", at positions 40 to 647 of the family's 3401-position model. The record is from RNAcentral. Lineage: Eukaryota; Fungi.